AGUCUUUUUUCAAAUACGUUUUCGAAUUACAUAAUCCGGAAGUUAUUCUAUGGGGGUGACACAAGAAGAAUAAAAAUGUAUUUUCAUUUUGUGUAUGGAGGUGCCAGAAGAAGAUAUGGAGGUGCAGGAAGAAACAGUCGUGAGACAAACGCUAAAAAGGCAUCCACUGGGGAAAUUAACAUGAGUAUAUAUAUACACAUUUUAGUAGGAACACAUUAUGUUCAAACGGAAAAAAACAAAAUUGGGGCCAAAAUACAUUCCAUUCUG
This 267-nucleotide long non-coding RNA is filed under the name Phaseolus vulgaris (common bean). RNAcentral describes it as "long non-coding RNA (PVUL_LNC000477)". The record is from RNAcentral. Lineage: Eukaryota; Viridiplantae; Streptophyta; Magnoliopsida; Fabales; Fabaceae.